AGAGUUUGAUCCUGGCUCAGGACGAACGCUGGCGGUGCGCCUAAUGCAUGCAAGUCGAACGGUCCUUUAGAUUUCGGUUUAAAGGAUAGUGGCAGACGGCUGAGUAACACGUAAGUGACCUCCCCCGAAGAGAGGGAUAAGCUCGAGAAAUCGGGUCUAAUACCUCGUAAGCUCCCCUGGUUACGGCCAGAGGAGGAAAGGUCUAGCAAUAGAUUGCUUUGGGAGGGGCUUGCGGCCUAUCAGGCAGUUGGCGGGGUAAUAGCCCACCAAACCUAAGACGGGUAACCGGUGUGAGAGCAUGAACGGUCAGAGGGGGACUGCGACACGGCCCCCACUCCUACGGGAGGCAGCAGCAGGGAAUAUUGCGCAAUGGGCGAAAGCCUGACGCAGCGACACCGCGUGAGGGAAGAAGGCCUUCGGGUUGUAAACCUCUUUUCUCAGGGAAUAGAGAGGAAGGUACCUGGGGAAUAAGCCUCGGCUAGCUACGUGCCAGCAGCCGCGGUAAUACGUAGGAGGCGAGCGUUGUCCGGAAUUACUGGGCGUAAAGGGCGAGUAGGUGGUUCGUUAAGUCUUAUGUGAAAUCUCCCGGCCUAACUGGGAGGGGUCAUAGGAUACUGGCGGACUUGAGGGCAGCAGAGGAAAGUGGAAUUCCCGGAGUAGCGGUGAAAUGCGUAGAUACCGGGAGGAACACCAGAGGCGAAGGCGACUUUCUGGGCUGUCUCUGACACUGAGGCGCGAAAGCAUAGGUAGCAAACCGGAUUAGAUACCCGGGUAGUCCAUGCCCUAAACGUUGGAUACUAGGUAUGGGGGGUAUCGACCCCCUCCGUGCCGCAGCUAACGCAUUAAGUAUCCCGCCUGGGGAGUACGGCCGCAAGGCUAAGACUCAAAGGAAUUGACGGGGGCCCGCACAAGCAGCGGAGCGUGUGGUUUAAUUCGAUGGUAAGCGAAGAACCUUACCAGGGCUUGACAUGCUACUGAAACCUUGCGAAAGUAAGGCCUCCUUCGGGACGGUAGCACAGAUGUUGCAUGGCUGUCGUCAGCUCGUGCCGUGAGGUGUUGGGUUAAGUCCCACAACGAGCGCAACCCUUGUUGCUAGUUGAUUUCUCUAGCGAGACUGCCCCUAAGAAAGGGGGGGAAGGUGGGGAUGACGUCAAGUCAGCACGGCUCUUACGUCCUGGGCUACACACACGCUACAAUGGCCGGUACAGAGGGUUGCUAAGGAGCGAUCCGGAGCUAAUCCCACAAAGCCGGCCCCAGUUGGGAUUGCAGGCUGAAACCCGCCUGCAUGAACCCGGAGCUGCUAGUAACUGCAGGUCAGCAUACUGCGGUGAAUACGUUCCCGGGCCUUGUACACACCGCCCGUCAAGUCAUGGAAGUCGGCAACACCUGAAGUCGCUGGGCCAACCCGCAAGGGAGGUAGGCGCCGAGGGUGGGGUCGGUGACUGGGACUAAGUAACAAGGUA
This 1463-nucleotide ribosomal RNA is filed under the name metagenome. Its description in RNAcentral is "bacterial SSU rRNA". It matches the Rfam family "Bacterial small subunit ribosomal RNA". The record is from RNAcentral.